This 768-nucleotide ribosomal RNA is filed under the name uncultured bacterium. RNAcentral's name for it is "bacterial SSU rRNA". It matches the Rfam family "Bacterial small subunit ribosomal RNA", at positions 28 to 809 of the family's 1533-position model. The record is from RNAcentral.
GACGAACGCUGGCGGCGCGCCUAACACAUGCAAGUCGAACGAGAGAUGAAGAGCUUGCUCUUCAAAUCGAGUGGCGAACGGGUGAGUAACGCGUGAGGAACCUGCCUCAAAGAGGGGGACAACAGUUGGAAACGACUGCUAAUACCGCAUAAGCCCACGGCUCGGCAUCGAGCAGAGGGAAAAGGAGCAAUCCGCUUUGAGAUGGCCUCGCGUCCGAUUAGCUAGUUGGUGAGGUAACGGCCCACCAAGGCGACGAUCGGUAGCCGGACUGAGAGGUUGAACGGCCACAUUGGGACUGAGACACGGCCCAGACUCCUACGGGAGGCAGCAGUGGGGAAUAUUGCACAAUGGGGGAAACCCUGAUGCAGCGACGCCGCGUGGAGGAAGAAGGUCUUCGGAUUGUAAACUCCUGUUGUUGAGGAAGAUAAUGACGGUACUCAACAAGGAAGUGACGGCUAACUACGUACCAGCAGCCGCGGUAAAACGUAGGUCACAAGCGUUGUCCGGAAUUACUGGGUGUAAAGGGAGCGCAGGCGGGAGAACAAGUUGGAAGUGAAAUCCAUGGGCUCAACCCAUGAACUGCUUUCAAAACUGUUUUUCUUGAGUAGUGCAGAGGUAGGCGGAAUUCCCGGUGUAGCGGUGGAAUGCGUAGAUAUCGGGAGGAACACCAGUGGCGAAGGCGGCCUACUGGGCACCAACUGACGCUGAGGCUCGAAAGUGUGGGUAGCAAACAGGAUUAGAUACCCUGGUAGUCCACACCGUAAACGA